AUUGAACGCUGGCGGCAGGCCUAACACAUGCAAGUCGAACGAGUGGCGGACGGGUGAGUAAUGUCUGGGAAACUGCCUGAUGGAGGGGGAUAACUACUGGAAACGGUAGCUAAUACCGCAUACCCUCGGAUGUGCCCAGAUGGGAUUGGCUAGUAGGUGGGGUAAAGGCUCACCUAGGCAACGAUCCCUACCUGGUCUGAGAGGAUGACCAGCCACACUGGAGUUGAGACACGGGCAAGACUCCGACGGGAGGCAGCAGUGGGGAGUAUUGGACAAUGGGCGCAAGCCUGAUGCAGCCAGGCCGCGUGUAUGAAGAAGGCCUUCGGGUUGUAAAGUACUUUCAGUGGGGAGGCGUUACCCGCAGAAGAAGCACCGGCUAACUCCGUGCCAGCCGCCGCGGUAAUUC
RNAcentral lists this ribosomal RNA (406 nucleotides) under uncultured bacterium. RNAcentral describes it as "partial 16S ribosomal RNA". It matches the Rfam family "Bacterial small subunit ribosomal RNA", at positions 30 to 526 of the family's 1533-position model. The record is from RNAcentral.